RNAcentral lists this long non-coding RNA (592 nucleotides) under Zea mays. RNAcentral describes it as "long non-coding RNA (ZMAY_LNC002735)". The record is from RNAcentral. Lineage: Eukaryota; Viridiplantae; Streptophyta; Magnoliopsida; Poales; Poaceae.
AAAAGCUCAGUGGCGAGCCAUCCAUGCAUAUGCGAUCGAGCUAGUGUUUGAUAAAGUCAAUAUCCCUUCCAUCUUUUUAUUAUUGAACAAACAGUUUAUUUAUUUUAUUGAGUGUAUCACACAACCGCUGCUCUAGCUUGGUUGCUCUCAUGGCGGGCAGCAGCACUCGUAUUUGCUGCCCUCAUGCUUGCAGUAGGCCGACUUGGUCUUGUGCUUGGCGGAUAGGCAUUGCAAGGCGCAUGUCGCGGUCGUGCAGUGGUCCGCGUCGUUCUUGAGAGGGUCCACGCACGGUGUCGCAUCUAGCUGCUGAUCGCAGCCACCAAUGCCUACACAUCAUAGUUAAUAAAUAAUAUAUACAGUAACUCGUCAGUCAGUCUUGAGAAGGAGAAUAAUACUGUAGAAAUAAGUAAAGUAGGGUUGGUGAUGGUGCCUACAGCUUCGUCCGGCUUCGUAGCACGGAGAUGUUGAAGACAGGACCACAAAAACCAGGACUAGGACGAUUGUCGUCUUGAACACCGCCAUGAGAAGAAGAGGAUAUAUAGAUCGAAUUCCCUACUGAUGUGUGCGCUGGGGAGGAGUAUGUGUAUUUGUG